UUUAAUAUGGCAGAUUAAGUGCAUUGGUUUUAAACACCAAAAAUAAAAUUAAUUAAUUUUUAUUAAAA
Molecule: transfer RNA, 68 nt
Filed under: Euaspis polynesia
Lineage: Eukaryota; Metazoa; Arthropoda; Insecta; Hymenoptera; Megachilidae
Description: tRNA-Leu
Source: RNAcentral